GACAGAGGUGCCGAGCGUUAGGCGGAAUCACUGGGCUUAAAGCGUGUGUAGGCGGGGCGUUAAGUGUCUUGUGAAAUCCCCCGGCUCAACCGGGGAAUGGCUGGGCAUACUGGCGAUCUUGAGCAGUCUAGGGGCAGAUGGAACAAGUGGUGGAGCGGUGAAAUGCGUAGAUAUCACUUGGAACGCCAACGGUGAAGACAGUCUGCUGGGGACUUGCUGACGCUGAGACACGAAAGCCAGGGGAGCGAACGGG
This 253-nucleotide ribosomal RNA is filed under the name uncultured bacterium. RNAcentral's name for it is "partial 16S ribosomal RNA". It matches the Rfam family "Bacterial small subunit ribosomal RNA", at positions 524 to 776 of the family's 1533-position model. The record is from RNAcentral.